AAACCAGCACCUCAAGUGGUCAGGAUGAUUAUUGGGCCUAAAGCAUCCGUAGCCGGGUGCAUAAGUUUUCGGUUAAAUCCAUAUGCUCAACAUAUGGGCUGCCGGAAAUACUGUGCACCUAGGGAGUGGGAGAGGUAGACGGUACUCGGUAGGAAGGGGUAAAAUCCUUUGAUCUAUUGAUGACCACCUGUGGCGAAGGCGGUCUACCAGAACACGUUCGACGGUGAGGGAUGAAAGCUGGGGGAGCAAACCGGAUUAGAAACCCGAGUAGUCC
This 274-nucleotide ribosomal RNA is filed under the name uncultured bacterium. RNAcentral's name for it is "partial 16S ribosomal RNA". It matches the Rfam family "Archaeal small subunit ribosomal RNA", at positions 473 to 747 of the family's 1478-position model. The record is from RNAcentral.